GACGAACGCUGGCGGCGUGCUUAACACAUGCAAGUCGAACGGAAAGGCCCUGCUUUUGGGGGGUGCGCGAGGGGCGAACGGGUGAGUAACACGUGAGUAACCUGCCCUUGACUUUGGGAUAACUUCAGGAAACUGGGGCUAACACCGGAUAGGAGCUCCUGCUGCGUGGUGGGGGUUGGAUAGUUUCGGUGGUGGGGGCUGGACUCGCGGCGUAUGAGCGUGUUGGUGGGGUUGGGGAUUACCAAGGUUUUGACGGGUAGGCGGCAUGGGAGGGUGACCGGCCACAUGAGGACUGAGAGACGCACCAGACUCCGACGGGAGGCAGAAGGGGGGAAUAUUGCACAAUGGGCGGAAGCCUGAUGCAGCAACGCCGCGGGCGGGAUGACGGCCUUCGGGUAGUAAACCGCUUUCGCCUGUGACGCAGCGUGAGUGACGGUAAUGGGUAAAGAAGCACCGGCUAACUACGUG
This 468-nucleotide ribosomal RNA is filed under the name uncultured bacterium. Its description in RNAcentral is "partial 16S ribosomal RNA". It matches the Rfam family "Bacterial small subunit ribosomal RNA", at positions 28 to 507 of the family's 1533-position model. The record is from RNAcentral.